Molecule: long non-coding RNA, 2522 nt
Organism: Carassius auratus (goldfish)
Lineage: Eukaryota; Metazoa; Chordata; Actinopteri; Cypriniformes; Cyprinidae
Exons: 4
Source: RefSeq, a predicted model, not a curated record
GGUUAAAGCAGGUCCAAUCCAGGGUCCUGAAGGGCCAACUUCUUGCAGAGUUUAGCUUCUCCCAACAUACAUAGCCAUAAGAUUCUAGUAGUCCUGAAGAUCUUGAUUUCUGUGGUCCAGGUGUGUUUAAUUGGGGAUGGAGCUAAACUCUGCAGGACAUUAGCCCCCCAGGAGCAGAACUGGACACUCGCAAAAUAAAUAAUUAGUUUCUGGUUAAAAUUACAUUUGGAAUUGAUGCUUUAUUUGUACAGUAGAUUGAUUUUAGGAAGAAGUCCAAAUGGAAAGAUGCUUCUUUUCAAACCUAUUCUUCAAAAAUGAAAGAGAAGACCAUACCACCCACAACUAAACUGCAACCGCAUACUGUUUGAUCACCUGUUAGCGUUCUGUCUCUGACAACAUAAAUGCACCCUUUUUUAAAACGUUUGAAAAACAACUGCCAAUAUGUGAUCAGGUGUUCCUGUAGCUCAACUGGUAGAGCAUUGUGCUUAAGCAAGUGCAUGGUUGGGGGUUCAAGUCCCAGGGAGCACAUGAUAGUAGAGAAUUGUUAGCAUGAAUGCAAUGUAAGUUGCUUUGGAUAAAAGUGUCUGCCAAAUGCAUAAAUGUAAUGUGACCCCAGUUAAGAGAUCUACAAACUCACGUCAGUGCAUUUGCUUCAUUAAGUCCCCCAACAGAUGACCGGAACAAGAUGCACUACUAUAAAAUGUGAAAUAUUUAUAAAAUACAUAAUCAUACUAGGACUACUUUUUUAUUUGUGCACAUACGAGAUGAAGAAUGAACACUGAAAAAAAGGAAAAGCAGUUUUACUGAAUUUACUAAAACGAUACACUUACAAUCUACUUAAUACAUUUAUGUUUAAGAUGGAAACAUAAUUGUAUUGUUUUAAUUCUAAAUGAAAUUCAACAUAAUCAUCAAAACAUGAUAUAAUCACUUUGCAAGAAAAUGUUCAAAUUGUUUCAGAUGUCAAACAAAUGGUGUUCAUGUAAAAUGACUUUUUUCUGCUGUUUGAUUUAUUUAAUUAAAAUAGGCCCAUGUCACACAAUUACUUUGUAUUUUCUAUUCAACUUAAUUCCAUUGUGUAGGCUAUAAUUAAUUUAAUUCAGGUUUGUGAAAUACGUCGUUUGCGCGGGAGCAACGCGCGCGAGAGCGUCUGCGCAUGCGCUUUGAAAUCCAGACCACACCAGGACCGUUGGUUUGGAAAGGAAGGACACAUGAGGGGACUGACUGUCUUGUUUUCAAAGCUCGUUAAAAGUGACAUUUGCUGUACAUUUGGAAUUCCAAAGCCUGUUCAGACAAAUUACGAGCUAAGUCAGUCCCCAACAAAGGCAGUUAGCCUUGUAGAAGUCGGUGAAUUAACUGAUGAAUGCCCCUUGGCUGACUAUUUGAUUGGACAUGUGCAGAUGGUAACGUUAAAGAGAUUUUUCUGCUGCAAAGGAUGACAUUGAUGCAGCUUGUGAACUUGCCAUCAGAGGACUGUGUAUCUAUCUUAAUGAGGACUCUAAAGAUCUCAUUCAGGAGUAUGCGGACAUGGAAGAAGAUCUUUUACAGUGUGCGAUUGAGAAGACUACCAUGGGCAUCUUCCUGAUAAAGCACACUGCAGACUAUGAACCCCAUGAUGUAGACAUUGUGCUAGAGGGUGUAGCAGUGCUUCAGGACCUCGACAGUGUGGAUUUUGCAACUUCAAUGUUGUUUGGUCUAAUUUAUGCUCUUAACCUGCAGUACCCCACAAAGUUGUGUUUUACAUAUGAAAUUUAGCAAAAACUCAUCAUGGACUUGGAUGCAGGUGAAUUCUCUAUCAAGGCCCAAAAUUUCACAUCUGAACUCCACCAGUGAGAUGGACUGAUUCUUGAAUGACUACUGAGACUACAAACAAUCAACCUCGGAAAAUUUCAGCAGCCUUCAUGCAAGACCACCGCAGAGGGUAAACCGUGAUCUUGUUGUUUAGACUGUUCCCCUUUGCCUGCUCUCGUUUCUUUAUCUUUUUUUUUGUCUGAAUUUGGCCCUUCUUUGGACUGGUUCAGAAGUUGAUUGAUUAGAGAGCUGAAUCUAUGAGACAUGGUUGAACUAGCAUAAAUAAGAUACAUUGUUUAUAGUUUAGGUAAGGGUCAGAUACUGUAUUUCCACAUUGUUUUGUAAUGUCUAUAUAUAAUUAUCUUUGAAACUAAAGCGUUUUUCUUGAAAUAACAGUUCCAGGUAGGGCUGCACGAUAUUGGGAAAAAAUGACAUUGCAAUAUUUUAUUUUUCUGCGAUAUAUAUUGCGAUAUGAAAUCUAAUCUAUUUUUUUCUUACAAACAAAAAUUGGGUGAGCACACUUACAUUCUCAUUUUAAAUGAUGUAAACAUCGACACCAUCGUGUCAAUUGAUUAAUAUGUGCGAGGGAGAGAGAGCAAGACAGCGCUCGUGUUGUUUGAAGCUGGUGAGCUUGCGGCCGGGGCUCGCUCUCGCUCUCUCUCUCCCUCUCUCUUCUCUCUUUCUCUCUCGCAUGCUUUCUCUCGUGCUCUCUCUCUCUCUCUCUCUCUCUCUCU